Molecule: small nuclear RNA, 139 nt
Filed under: Salvator merianae (Argentine black and white tegu)
Lineage: Eukaryota; Metazoa; Chordata; Lepidosauria; Squamata; Teiidae
Description: U4 spliceosomal RNA (ENSSMRG00000002091.1)
Rfam family: U4 spliceosomal RNA
About the family: U4 small nuclear RNA (U4 snRNA) is a component of the major U2-dependent spliceosome.
Source: Rfam by way of RNAcentral
AGCUUUGCGCAGUGGCAGUAUCGUAGCUAAUGAGGUUUAUCCACGGCGCGAUUAUUGCUAAUUGAAAAAAAAAAAAUCUGUUACCUAUCAGUAUAGUGGUACCCAUGCCUGUGAAGGCAUUUUUAAUGUUUUAGAUAAU